This 468-nucleotide ribosomal RNA is filed under the name uncultured bacterium. RNAcentral's name for it is "partial 16S ribosomal RNA". It matches the Rfam family "Bacterial small subunit ribosomal RNA", at positions 28 to 507 of the family's 1533-position model. The record is from RNAcentral.
GACGAACGCUGUCGUCUUUCUUCACACAUUCAAGUCGACCCGAAAGUCCCUGCUUUUUUCGGUUGCUCUAUUUGCGAACGGUUGAGUAACACGUAAGUAACCUCCCCUUGCCUUUGGGAUAACUUCAGUAAACUGGUCCUAAUACCGGUUAGUAGCUCCUGCUGCAUGGUGGGGGUUGUAAAGUUUCGGCGGUUGGGGAUGGACUCGCGGCUUACCAGCUUGUUGGUGGGGUAGUGGCUUACCAAGGAUUUGACGGGUAUCCGGCCUGAGAGGGUGACCGGCCACAUUGGGACUGAGAUACGCCCGAGACUGCUACGGGAGGCAGCAGUGGGGAAUAUUGCACAAGGGGCGGAAGCUUGAUGAAGAAACGCAGCGUGCGAGAUGAAGGCAGUAGGGUUGUAACCCCUUUUCGACUGUAACGAAGCGUGAGUGACGGUAAUGGGUAAAGAAGCAGAGGCGAACUACGUG